This 292-nucleotide ribosomal RNA is filed under the name uncultured bacterium. RNAcentral describes it as "partial 16S ribosomal RNA". It matches the Rfam family "Bacterial small subunit ribosomal RNA", at positions 505 to 796 of the family's 1533-position model. The record is from RNAcentral.
GUGCCAGCAGCCGCGGUAAUACGUAGGUGGCGAGCGUUGUCCGGAUUUACUGGGCGUAAAGGGCGUGCAGGCGGUUUGCUAAGUCUAGGGUGAAAGCUCCCGGCUUAACUGGGAGAGGUCCUUGGAUACUGGCAGACUUGAGGAGGGUAGAGGAGAGUGGAAUUCCCGGUGUAGUGGUGAUAUGCGUAGAUAUCGGGAGGAACACCAGUGGCGAAGGCGGCUCUCUGGGCCCUACCUGACGCUGAGACGCGAAAGCGUGGGGAGCGAACCGGAUUAGAAACCCUCGUAGUCC